Molecule: ribosomal RNA, 103 nt
Filed under: uncultured bacterium
Lineage: Bacteria
Description: partial 16S ribosomal RNA
Rfam family: Bacterial small subunit ribosomal RNA
Source: RNAcentral
CUUGUACACACCGCCCGUCACACCAUGGGAGCGGGAUGUAUCAGAAGUAGGUAGGCUAACCGCAAGGGGGCCGCUUACCACGGUGCGUUUCGUGACUGGGGUG